GUUUUUAUUAAAAAACAAUGCAGAUCAAUACAAUUUUUUUCAGCACAAAUUGUUGCAACAGAUGUAUAAUUGCAUUUAGAGCACAACAGGACAAAAGUAGGCAUAUAAUAAGGUGAAAAAGAAUAACAGCACCAAACAAGUGAGAGCAAAUAAAAGAAAAUACAGAGGUAAAGCUAUUCUGAUAUAAAAUUAAAACGUUUGAGCAGGUCAAUGGUUUUGGUUCGUUUUUUGUUAGGGUGAUUUAAUUGUGACCGUGUUUGGAAGUAAUUGUUGAGAUCAGAUUGUUUAAAAGUGGAAAAGGAUGGUGAUUUUUCUUUCAGAAAUGUCAUUUUAUGGAUGAAGAACGUGUCACAAUGUUACAGUGACAAUAAAAUACUGUAAAGCUUCUUCUUCUUCUUCUUCUUCUUCUAAAGCUGUUUACCAACCGUCUUUAAACAACAGAAGAGGAGGAAGAAAAAGAAUCUGAUUGGACAGUAACAGUCCAAUCACAGAGUAGAGUCAAAUUGUCCAAUCAGGUGGCAUGUGGUUUCUAUAAGUUAGUCUCCAGUAAACGUUCUGUAAUUUUGGUUGUCGUGGAGAGUCAAGAUGACUGCUAUUCAGGUGGGAUACUUUAUCUAGCGUUAGCCGAAUGCUAAUGUAGGACGUUAGCAAAACUCUGCUAGCAAGAAAAAUUUUAAUGGCCACAGAACGCACGGACAAGAAUAUGGAACUCGCACAGCUUAAAUAGUCUCAGCCGUGUUGUGAGCAGGACAGACAGUGUUCUGGGCCCCUGUCACUCCUACGUAGGGACAUGAAGCUGAUGAGGUCCUGAUCUUCCAAAUGGCCAGAAACCAGACAUCCAUGGCUCUGGAGUUCUUCCUUGGUGCUGCAAAGAAACAUGACUUUACAUCCAGCCUGCUUUAAGAUGAUCUGGGCACAACUGGGAAGACUUCUUGUCAACCCUCAUGAGGACAUUUGAGGUGAGUGGCUUUGUAAAGAAACUUGUGCUUCAUUUCACAGUCAAUAAAAUGUUUGAAUAGUUUUCAUUUCAGAGGGACCAUUUUUCCCAGAUAAAGUGAUU
Monopterus albus (swamp eel) is the source of this 1060-nucleotide long non-coding RNA. RefSeq lists it as uncharacterized. The transcript is spliced from 5 exons. Lineage: Eukaryota; Metazoa; Chordata; Actinopteri; Synbranchiformes; Synbranchidae. The record is from RefSeq and is a predicted model, not a curated record.